CGCGUAGGUGGUUUGUUAAGUUGGAUGUGAAAGCCCCGGGCUCAACCUGGGAACUGCAUCCAAAACUGGCAGGCUAGAGUACGGUAGAGGGUGGUGGAAUUUCCUGUGUAGCGGUGAAAUGCGUAGAUAUAGGAAGGAACACCAGUGGCGAAGGCGACCACCUGGACUGAUACUGACACUGAGGUGCGAAAGCGUGGGGAGCAAACA
This 207-nucleotide ribosomal RNA is filed under the name uncultured bacterium. Its description in RNAcentral is "partial 16S ribosomal RNA". It matches the Rfam family "Bacterial small subunit ribosomal RNA", at positions 568 to 774 of the family's 1533-position model. The record is from RNAcentral.